GGAAAAAUCAAAAGAAGAAGAAGAAGAAGUUCAUAGGAAGAAGUGGUAGAUGGUCAUAGGUCAUGAGCUGGUAUGGUGAUUUGGAAGGCAGGAGCGAGAGAAGGAAGGUACACUGGAUUAGAGUAAGGUCACCAGAGAAAGAGGUCACAGUCACAAAGACAAAGAACAAGAUUUCAGGUGAAGAGGUCAGUGCUGUUAUCAUGAGAUGAGCGUGCAAUCUGUGACUGCAUUGAUCUCAGCGAUGGUAAAAAAGCCUCCAUAUGUUGUCCAAUUAUCAGGAACCGUUGGAUGAAUGUCUGUACCUCCACACACAGGACAUGUGAAAUCCCUUAGAGACCGUUCUGUCAUUACCCAGUCAUUACCCAUCAGCACAAAGAUCACACAUGCUUUCUGCCUCAACUGCUAAAGGUUAACAGUGGUGUCUCAUGUCAUUCUGUGGCUUUACGUCAGGGAGGAGGAGAUAUAGGAGGCUUUUGUCUUUAACCGUCAAAGACAAACUUUCUAUUCACCGACACGGUGACCGUUACGUCUACACCCAAUCCCAUUCCAGC
Molecule: long non-coding RNA, 551 nt
Filed under: Sinocyclocheilus anshuiensis
Lineage: Eukaryota; Metazoa; Chordata; Actinopteri; Cypriniformes; Cyprinidae
Description: lncRNA (ENSSANG00000010355.1)
Source: RNAcentral